This 244-nucleotide ribosomal RNA is filed under the name uncultured bacterium. Its description in RNAcentral is "partial 16S ribosomal RNA". It matches the Rfam family "Bacterial small subunit ribosomal RNA", at positions 28 to 261 of the family's 1533-position model. The record is from RNAcentral.
GACGAACGCUAGCGGCGUGCCUAAGGUAUGCAAGUCGAACGGUCCCGGCUUUCGGGUCGGGAUAGUGGCGAACGGUCGAGUAACACGUAGACAACCUGCCUCCCAGCGGGGGAUACCCGCGGGAAACCGCGGUUAAUACCGCAUGCGCUCCGGAAGGGGAUGCCCUUUUGGAUGAAAGGUCCCGCAGCAAUUCGGGAGCACUGGGAGAUGGGUCUGCGGCCUAUCAGCUAGUUGGCGGGGUAAC